AAAUUCCCUCAAUAAAGUACGAUGUGCCACAAACAAACUAUAAAAUCUCAUAAGACACUUGGGUAAGAGUUAUGUUUGCAAGCGUAAAAAUCAAUUGUUUCCCACAGGUAGUUCGCAGGAGGUUGUGAUCAUUUAUAUUUUCAGAAGUCUGCCCUUCAUCUGUCUGUAAGUGGCAUUCUUUUACCUAAACAGGGACAACAAACAAGUCACAUCAUUACGACCAGCAGUUGAGCAUGCUGUAGAGUUGGGAGUGAGACCAGAUGAAGACCUGGAGGCUGGAGAGACACAGAAGAAUGAAACUGAAGAGGUGAAACAUGGAGAUAAUAUUUCAGAACAGGAGAAAGAUAGGGUCAACAACGAGAAACCUGAAGUAACUGUUGCAACAGAAGAAGAGAAACCGACUGCUGUAGUUGUGAGCAUUGAACAAGGUGCAUCUUCAAUGCAUGACAACGAAAACAAGAGCAUUUCUGUUACGAACACUGAGGAAAAGACACAUCUAAUGCCUGAUGUUGAAGAAGGGACUGUUUCUGUGCUGACUGACUCAGAUUCAGCUCUGUGAGACACAGAGGAAAUGCAGUUAUGGUAUGCUGUUCAGGUCUGUGAUGUCACUUCCUGCAUGAUAGCUUGUUUGCAGACUCAUAAUGGUUUGAAUUCUGAAAGCAGGUGGAAUAAAGUAUGUUAAUGCAUCUUUCUGUAUGAUUGUGUAUGUGGUUGUGUUCAGUCAAGUGUGAGAGCAGUGUUGUGGUUUACGCUGGGCUUCGCUGUGAUAAAUUUAGUUGCAUGGGGAGGGGUUGAAAAUCUGAGAGUACGAGUGUCUCGUGCGUGUGAGAGGUUGUGCUGUGUGAGUAUAGCAGAGUUGAGAUUCUCUGCAGACGGUCAGAAAUGAAGUGUUCCUCCAGACUCCUGUGUGGACUCCUCGUGUCAUGCCUUUGUUUCAGAGGUAAGUGCCACACAAAACUCCUUGGUGAAGAGAAACCCAGUACAGAUGCUCCAGGAUACUGUUCAGUAUUAGUGCAAAAUCAAACAAACCAAAUGAUUGUAGAGCUGUGAGAUAAUGCUGUCUUCCUAUGUUCAGUUGAAGACAUUUUUUUUACCAUAUUACAUUUACAUUUACAUUAAUUUAUUUAUCAGUUACAUCUAUAUGCAUGAAUAUGUUUGAUUAUAUCAUUAACUUAAUUUUCCAUACAUUUCUGCCAUAUCUACAUUAAUUUUGACAGUAACCUUGACAUUUGACAAGUCACUUCUAAAUAUAUUGUAUAAACUUAAUUUUCUGUAAUUGUCUGCUUUGCAAC
RNAcentral lists this long non-coding RNA (1292 nucleotides) under Carassius auratus (goldfish). RNAcentral's name for it is "lncRNA (ENSCARG00000017303.1)". The record is from RNAcentral. Lineage: Eukaryota; Metazoa; Chordata; Actinopteri; Cypriniformes; Cyprinidae.